UACGUAGGGUGCAAGCGUUGUCCGGAAUUAUUGGGCGUAAAGAGCUCGUAGGCGGUUUGUCGCGUCGACUGUGAAAACCCGAGGCUUAACCUCGGGCCUGCAGUCGAUACGGGCAGACUAGAGUUCGGUAGAGGAGACUGGAAUUCCUGGUGUAGCGGUGAAAUGCGCAGAUAUCAGGAGGAACACCGGUGGCGAAGGCGGGUCUCUGGGCCGAUACUGACGCUGAGGAGCGAAAGCGUGGGGAGCGAACAGG
This 253-nucleotide ribosomal RNA is filed under the name uncultured bacterium. RNAcentral describes it as "partial 16S ribosomal RNA". It matches the Rfam family "Bacterial small subunit ribosomal RNA", at positions 524 to 776 of the family's 1533-position model. The record is from RNAcentral.